Molecule: transfer RNA, 71 nt
Filed under: Chryseobacterium sp. Leaf404
Lineage: Bacteria; Pseudomonadati; Bacteroidota; Flavobacteriia; Flavobacteriales; Weeksellaceae
Rfam family: tRNA
About the family: Transfer RNA (tRNA) molecules are approximately 80 nucleotides in length. Their secondary structure includes four short double-helical elements and three loops (D, anti-codon, and T loops).
Source: Rfam by way of RNAcentral
GGAGAGAUGGCAGAGUGGUCGAUUGCGAUAGUCUUGAAAACUAUUCGGGGGUUCGAAUCCCUCUCUCUCCG